CCCCUAGAUGUUCUGGGCCGCACGCGCGCUACACUGAACAGUUCAACAAGUCUUAACCUUGGCCGAUAGGUCUGGGUAAUCUUUGAACGCUGUUCGUGAUUGGGAUAGACCUUUGCAAUUAUGGGUCUUCAACGAGGAAUUCCUAGUAAACGCAAGUCAUCAGCUUGCAUUGAUUACGUCCCUGCCCUUUGUACACACCGCCCGUCGCUACUACCGAUUGAAUGAUCCGAUGAAUACCAUGGAUUGAGAGUACGAAUAGGUUCGCUUAUUUCUGCUUCUCGAGAAGUGGAGUAAAUCUUAUCAUUUAGAGGAAGGAGAAGUCGUAACA
RNAcentral lists this ribosomal RNA (328 nucleotides) under uncultured eukaryote. RNAcentral describes it as "partial 18S ribosomal RNA". It matches the Rfam family "Eukaryotic small subunit ribosomal RNA", at positions 1470 to 1796 of the family's 1831-position model. The record is from RNAcentral.